GAGGGUAUAGCUCAAUGGUAGAGUGCAUACGUAGCAUGCAUGAGGUCCUGGGUUCAAUCCCCAGUAUCUCCA
Molecule: transfer RNA, 72 nt
Organism: Camelus ferus (Wild Bactrian camel)
Lineage: Eukaryota; Metazoa; Chordata; Mammalia; Artiodactyla; Camelidae
Rfam family: tRNA
About the family: Transfer RNA (tRNA) molecules are approximately 80 nucleotides in length. Their secondary structure includes four short double-helical elements and three loops (D, anti-codon, and T loops).
Source: Rfam